AUGCCGGUAAAGCCACUUUACUUUGCGCUUUUAUUUUGAAGAGUACCUUAGCACUUCCUCUUUUAUUGUGUCAGACUUCCUGUUCUGUUCUCAGUGAAACGACACAAACACGUUGCUUCAGAACUGGCUAAGAGAUGUGCAUGGAGGAGGUUGGCUAGCUGGUUCAGCAUGAUUAGCACCCUUGGAAGCAGAAAGAGUUUUCACGGUGCCAUAUUGUCGGUGGGUUAAAAGAGGAGAGAAUAAAGUUGGAUCAGUCGAAGCUCUCUGCGUCACGAGUGGUAAUUCCAAGUGGGCAGCUACAAGGCCAUUGUAAUAGGAGACAUUAAACAGAUAGUGAAACUUCUUCUGCUUAUCAGGGAUGUAAAUCCUUAGGUGAAGGCUAAGCAGAAAACAAGGUCAUAAUUCUCUCUGUGCAGGAGGAGGUAUAGCCCCCCCGUGAGAGGGGCCAACAUGUUAGAGUUUGUGGAAUGUUCUUUGUCUGUGUGUCUGUAUAUAAGAUGUAAGGGUGGUGGCCACAAGGCAGAGAUGGUCCUGGUGUUUCACUGGGAUGCUCUCUCCACAUUGCAAUGUGUUUAUUAAACCCACUUCAAAUCAA
This is a long non-coding RNA of Oreochromis niloticus (Nile tilapia), 595 nucleotides long. RefSeq lists it as uncharacterized. Lineage: Eukaryota; Metazoa; Chordata; Actinopteri; Cichliformes; Cichlidae. The transcript is spliced from 3 exons. The record is from RefSeq and is a predicted model, not a curated record.